Molecule: ribosomal RNA, 2792 nt
Filed under: Enterobacter sichuanensis
Lineage: Bacteria; Pseudomonadati; Pseudomonadota; Gammaproteobacteria; Enterobacterales; Enterobacteriaceae
Description: partial 23S ribosomal RNA
Source: RNAcentral
GGUUAAGCGACUAAGCGUACACGGUGGAUGCCCUGGCAGUCAGAGGCGAUGAAGGACGUGCUAAUCUGCGAAAAGCGCCGGCGAGGUGAUAUGAACCUUUGACCCGGCGAUGUCCGAAUGGGGAAACCCAGUGUGUUCCGACACACUAUCGUUAACUGAAUACAUAGGUUAACGAGGCGAACCGGGGGAACUGAAACAUCUAAGUACCCCGAGGAAAAGAAAUCAACCGAGAUUCCCCCAGUAGCGGCGAGCGAACGGGGAGCAGCCCAGAGUCUGAAUCAGCUUGUGUGUUAGUGGAACGGUCUGGAAAGUCCGACGGUACAGGGUGAUAGUCCCGUACACGAAAAUGCACAGGUUGUGAACUCGAAGAGUAGGGCGGGACACGUGGUAUCCUGUCUGAAUAUGGGGGGACCAUCCUCCAAGGCUAAAUACUCCUGACUGACCGAUAGUGAACCAGUACCGUGAGGGAAAGGCGAAAAGAACCCCGGCGAGGGGAGUGAAAAAGAACCUGAAACCGUGUACGUACAAGCAGUGGGAGCACCUUCGGGUGUGACUGCGUACCUUUUGUAUAAUGGGUCAGCGACUUAUAUUCUGUAGCAAGGUUAACCGUAUAGGGGAGCCGAAGGGAAACCGAGUCUUAACUGGGCGUUAAGUUGCAGGGUAUAGACCCGAAACCCGGUGAUCUAGCCAUGGGCAGGUUGAAGGUUGGGUAACACUAACUGGAGGACCGAACCGACUAAUGUUGAAAAAUUAGCGGAUGACUUGUGGCUGGGGGUGAAAGGCCAAUCAAACCGGGAGAUAGCUGGUUCUCCCCGAAAGCUAUUUAGGUAGCGCCUCGUGAACUCAUCUUCGGGGGUAGAGCACUGUUUCGGCUAGGGGGCCAUCCCGGCUUACCAACCCGAUGCAAACUACGAAUACCGAAGAAUGUUAUCACGGGAGACACACGGCGGGUGCUAACGUCCGUCGUGAAGAGGGAAACAACCCAGACCGCCAGCUAAGGUCCCAAAGUCAUGGUUAAGUGGGAAACGAUGUGGGAAGGCACAGACAGCCAGGAUGUUGGCUUAGAAGCAGCCAUCAUUUAAAGAAAGCGUAAUAGCUCACUGGUCGAGUCGGCCUGCGCGGAAGAUGUAACGGGGCUAAACCAUGCACCGAAGCUGCGGCAGCGACACUAUGYGUUGUUGGGUAGGGGAGCGUUCUGUAAGCCGUUGAAGGUGGCCUGUGAGGGUUGCUGGAGGUAUCAGAAGUGCGAAUGCUGACAUAAGUAACGAUAAAGCGGGUGAAAAGCCCGCUCGCCGGAAGACCAAGGGUUCCUGUCCAACGUUAAUCGGGGCAGGGUGAGUCGACCCCUAAGGCGAGGCCGAAAGGCGUAGUCGAUGGGAAACAGGUUAAUAUUCCUGUACUUGGUGUUACUGCGAAGGGGGGACGGAGAAGGCUAUGUUAGCCGGGCGACGGUUGUCCCGGUUUAAGCAUGUAGGCGGAGGUUCCAGGUAAAUCCGGWACCUUUUAACGCUGAGGUGUGAUGACGAGGCACUACGGUGCUGAAGUAACAAAUGCCCUGCUUCCAGGAAAAGCCUCUAAGCAUCAGGUAACAUCAAAUCGUACCCCAAACCGACACAGGUGGUCAGGUAGAGAAUACCAAGGCGCUUGAGAGAACUCGGGUGAAGGAACUAGGCAAAAUGGUGCCGUAACUUCGGGAGAAGGCACGCUGAUAUGUAGGUGAAGCCCCUGCGGGUGGAGCUGAAAUCAGUCGAAGAUACCAGCUGGCUGCAACUGUUUAUUAAAAACACAGCACUGUGCAAACACGAAAGUGGACGUAUACGGUGUGACGCCUGCCCGGUGCCGGAAGGUUAAUUGAUGGGGUUAGCGGCAACGCGAAGCUCUUGAUCGAAGCCCCGGUAAACGGCGGCCGUAACUAUAACGGUCCUAAGGUAGCGAAAUUCCUUGUCGGGUAAGUUCCGACCUGCACGAAUGGCGUAAUGAUGGCCAGGCUGUCUCCACCCGAGACUCAGUGAAAUUGAACUCGCUGUGAAGAUGCAGUGUACCCGCGGCAAGACGGAAAGACCCCGUGAACCUUUACUAUAGCUUGACACUGAACACUGGUCCUUGAUGUGUAGGAUAGGUGGGAGGCUUUGAAGUGUGGACGCCAGUCUGCAUGGAGCCGUCCUUGAAAUACCACCCUUUAAUGGCUGGUGUUCUAACGUAGACCCGUAAUCCGGGUUGCGGACAGUGUCUGGUGGGUAGUUUGACUGGGGCGGUCUCCUCCCAAAGAGUAACGGAGGAGCACGAAGGUUAGCUAAUCCUGGUCGGACAUCAGGAGGUUAGUGCAAUGGCAUAAGCUAGCUUGACUGCGAGAGUGACGGCUCGAGCAGGUGCGAAAGCAGGUCAUAGUGAUCCGGUGGUUCUGAAUGGAAGGGCCAUCGCUCAACGGAUAAAAGGUACUCCGGGGAUAACAGGCUGAUACCGCCCAAGAGUUCAUAUCGACGGCGGUGUUUGGCACCUCGAUGUCGGCUCAUCACAUCCUGGGGCUGAAGUAGGUCCCAAGGGUAUGGCUGUUCGCCAUUUAAAGUGGUACGCGAGCUGGGUUUAGAACGUCGUGAGACAGUUCGGUCCCUAUCUGCCGUGGGCGCUGGAGAAUUGAGGGGGGCUGCUCCUAGUACGAGAGGACCGGAGUGGACGCAUCACUGGUGUUCGGGUUGUCAUGCCAAUGGCACUGCCCGGUAGCUAAAUGCGGAAGAGAUAAGUGCUGAAAGCAUCUAAGCACGAAACUUGCCCCGAGAUGAGUUCUCCCUGAG